This 310-nucleotide long non-coding RNA is filed under the name Elaeis guineensis (African oil palm). Its description in RNAcentral is "long non-coding RNA (EGUI_LNC050150)". Lineage: Eukaryota; Viridiplantae; Streptophyta; Magnoliopsida; Arecales; Arecaceae. The record is from RNAcentral.
AAAUAGAGCCGUUAGACCACAUUAAAUGAGCAUUAAAAGCAUUUAAAACGGGUUAAAAACUAGCCGUUGCGGAAAAAUCCCGUCAUAGGGGUCGACUCAUGCUUGGGGGUCGACUCAUGGGUCGACCUUUGUGGAAAAACAUCAGAGAAUCAAACGGGAUGCAAGGUUCUGUAAAAUUAGCUUAAAAUCCGCAGAGGUCGACUCAUGGGUCGACUCAUGCCUUGGGGGUCGACUCAUAGGUCGACUCACAGGGUGUGCCAAGUAUGUGCCGGCCAGAAAUUUCAGCGUGCCAGUCAUCUCAUGUGCCAUG